AAUGGACGCUGGCGGCGUGGAUAAGACAUGCAAGUCGAACGGAGUUAGCAAUAAGCUUGCUUAAGGCAAACUCAGUGGCGAACGGGUGAGUAACACGUGAAUAAUCUGCCUUGAAGUGGGGGAUAGCCCUGGGAAACUAGGAUUAAUACCGCAUGUGGUCGAGAGACUAAAGCAGCAAUGCGCCUUAAGAUGAGUUCGCGUCCUAUUAGCUAGUUGGUGAGGUAACUGCUCACCAAGGCCUUGAUAGGUAGCCGGUCUGAGAGGAUGUCCGGCCACACUGGAACUGAGACACGGUCCAGACACCUACGGGUGGCAGCAGUCGAGAAUCAUUCACGAUGGGGGCAACCCUGAUGGUGCGACGCCGCGUGGGGGAAGAAUGUCUUCGGAUUGUAAACCCCUGUCAUGUGGGAGUAAGCUAGUGAUAGUUGAUAGUACCACAAGAGGAAGAGACGGCAAACUCUGUGCCAGCCGCCGCAGUAA
This 480-nucleotide ribosomal RNA is filed under the name uncultured bacterium. RNAcentral describes it as "partial 16S ribosomal RNA". It matches the Rfam family "Bacterial small subunit ribosomal RNA", at positions 29 to 523 of the family's 1533-position model. The record is from RNAcentral.